GGUGGGGAUUUGUCACGAGUGUGCCUUAAGUUUUAUGACUACUGAGCCACAUGUAUUUGUAGUCAUGUUUGAAAGGUUAGGUAGGGUUUGGGGGGGUAAUAAGGUGGGAGUCAGGGACAGUGCAUCUAGAUGCUUACAAUGUGUGCUGCUGGCUCUUCCUGAGCACACUUCUGCCUUAAAGGCAGUUGGGUCUAUGUAAAGUGUGCAUGCCAGAGCUUUGGCAGGCGGGGCAGAGGGCUUAUGGGUGGUUGUGGUCCUUGGUGCUUUUGUACUUUUAGGACUGUAAGUAGCUGUGUUCAUUUUGUAGGAGCCUUAGUGUGAUUUCAGGGACCUGCUGAAAGGAGUCAGGAAGGAGUGCCCUGUAGCCUUGGUGUAGCCAGGAUGGGUGACUGAGCAGAGGUGGUGGGGUUUCUGAGAUGAUGAGCCAUGAGGUUUGGGGAUGGAUUCUUAUCUGGAUGUUAGUGGAUCAAGAAAGGCCUCUCCUCAGCCAUUGGGGCACAGAUGAGAGGGGGGUUGGACUUAGAGUCCUCUCUCAAGGCCUUGUGUUCUUUUGAGUCAAGAGACGUGUAUCCAGAGGUGACCUUUAAGGCCUCUUUCUUGUAAGCUAGGAGUAUCACCAGCCUCAUAAUAUUUCUCCAUCUUUCCCUUCUCUGUUCUCACUGCUGUAUUUGAGAGCCCAGACAGUGUAGGUUGCCACUGCAGCCUCCCUUACCUCUCCUGGCUGCCCUGCCCCCUUCCACUCACCUUGCCUGCUGAUCCUGUUGGAAUCUCCAGUCCUGCAUCGUGGUUCCCAGUUUAACAUGCCUUGUACACAGAGGCUCACGAGGGAAGGGUGGUGUAACAAACUGGAAUAAGUUGGUUAAGUGGCUACAGAAUGAACAGGCUCAGAACAUUGAGUUUAGGCAGGCUUGGGUGAAUGUUGGGCUGGACAGCCUUGACAGCACAAGAGAGGCACUGUCCCCUUUUGAGGGGUGGAGAAUCAGAGUUGAUGAUCCAGGAGGAAGGGAGCGGUCUUGUCUGUGCAUACACUAGGUUUAUUUACUGUAGUCUGGCAGAGAGCAGGUGCCAAGCAGAAGUACAACUGGGGCAGAGUGUUGGGACCCUAUUCUGUGCAAGAAUGAGUGUGGAAGGCACAGUUGUCCCUGCAGCCUCCUUAGAGGGGUUCUCAGUUUAGUGAAUGCAGCACUGGUGAGGACUGCUCCUCAUCCAGACCAGAGUAUGUGGAGGGCAGAGUUCUAGGACUCUGGAUUGUGGCUGAGAAGCAGGCAGAGCAUGACCUGGCCAGGCAUCAGGGACUAGCCAGCUUCCAGGGCAGUGCCAGUCUGAGAACUGUGGGUGCUUGGGGAGGGGCCGGUCAAGAGGAGUCUGUAGGUUCCAGUGACAGGGUUAGUGCUGUCUCGGUGAUUCCACAGAGCAGGGACCCCAUGUCUAGGUGUGGAAGAGCUUAAGACAUUGGCUACCUUGAGCUGCCAGUGAGCAUAUGGUGUCCCUGUCUGCUUUGCUUACUAUCUGCAUUCCCUCACUAUUUCUUCUGGUCCCUGUGCCUCUGGAUUGGAUCACGGGAGUAAGAUGAGGACCCUGGUGGUUCCUGAUAGGGCUUUUAUUUUCUCUUGGCUUCCUGUAUCUUAGUUCAUUUGGAAAUGUUCCAUUGAGUCUUCAGGGCUCUUGCCGUCAAGGCAAGGGAAAAAGUCUAUAUAGCUAUAUAGCUGUUCAGAAUUUUGGCCUAGUGCUCAACCCCUGGGAGUACUGCUCGGACUUGGUGGCAGGUGUGGACUCAGCUGGGAGUCGUCUUCAGAAUAUUCCUUUCUCUCUCUGAAGGAUCAUCUUUCUCCUCCUAGCUGGCUUCUGUAGACCUCAGCCCAUACCUUGCAGCCCACUUCCUGGUCAUCUUGGAGGCCUUCUGCUUCCAGAAUACUUGGGCCUUCCCAUCUCAGUGGGGAUUCCUGUAGCUCCAGCUCUGAAGGGGAUUAGGCAGUGCUGCUUUAUGAAGGGGCUGACUUUGGCCUCACAGAUUGGGUUUGAGUACGGUCAGUUGCCUUCUUGCUAGUAGUUUGGCCUCAGGUAAAACAUUUAAUCUCUCUGCCCCUUAAUCUGUUCAUCUGUGACUAGGGAUGACCUCCACAGCCUGACAGGGUUGUUCAUAGUCCUUGACACACCGAGGGAAGCCAUCGGUGCUAUACUGACUGUUCAUUAUCCUGGACUAUAUUUGAAGCUAAAUGACAGUGAGGUCCACCAAAGGCUGAAGACUUUUCACUAGACAGCCCAGAACCGGGGCCACGGGAGUCUUUAGGGCGAGCUUGUGGUGCCUGGUCUCUUGCCUGCUGGAGAGAAGCUUCCUACCCUUUCUCAUUAGCAGAGGUGAAACUAGAGAUCUGAGUCAAGGAAGCAAGUAUGCCUCAGAGCAAAACAGGCCCUACUUCCCGGCAUGUUCCUGAAGGUCACACUGCUGUGGGCCACACCUCAGUGUCAUGGAGCCCUAAGAGCCUAUAAAGGCUCUGCAGAGGCUGAGGGCCCAGCUUUGCAUUACUGGGGCCUGAGGAGGCUUCUCCUGAAACCUGGUCCCUGAAUUAUGCUUCUGAAGUGUUGAAGUGGACAGUCCCGCGGUGCUUACAUGGGAGCAGCAGAUGAGCUCAGAAGAGGGGCCGUGGAAGCUCUGAUCCCUUCUGGGAGAGAAUGUAAUAGUGUGUGCUGGGAGUUGUAAAUCAUGCACUUGCGAGGCUGAGUCAGGAUUAAUAGGGUUUGGUUAUUUUGGGAUAUACAGUGAGUGAGACCCUAUCACCAACAACCAACCAAACCAAACCAAACCAAACUAAAUGAAAAGUGAUCAUCUGGUUCCUGUCAUUCCUUUGUAAGCCACCCAGAGGCACCUGUGGAGAGACUACCUAGUCAUAUGGCAGAAAGCAUAUUUAUUCCUGCAUUCUCUGAGGCUGUGUGGUAGGUGAUAGGAGCUUCGGUGGGUCCAGCCAGUUCUUUAGAGUGUCUCUGGCACACGAACAACAGUGUGGGGCAGCUCUGGCCUUGUCUCCUUGUUCAAUUAAGUGGGGAAAGCUGACAGUUUUGUAAUAAAUUACAAGAGCAAAUGGAGAUCUUAGCAGGUUGUGGGGAGGGCGCUGGGAGAGUGCUUGAAAUGAAAUGUCGUCUACUCGGAGCUAAGACUUAGAACAUGCUUUCCAAAGCUGCUGUUCUUCAAAGAGGUGCAGAGGAAACAGUGAGAGGAAGGAAAGCGAGGCACAAGGUUGAGUCUCAACAGCCUUGUCACUUGCUCUGAGGAGUCCUGGCCACCUGACUUACCUACUGAACUUGAAAGGAGCAUGACUAUAACAGGGGCAAAGGCAGGGUAUUUCUCGAGGGUCUUGUGCACAGCUGACCCUUCCGCUUUUGUAGAGCAGCUUCAUAGAGAGAAUUGCAGACUUCUCCGUUAACAGCAAGUUACUAGCUCAUUUAUUAAUUGCAUAAUGCAUCUAGAGCUGCCAGCAUAGUGCUCAGCAGAGUCCCUCGUGCGUGACCAGCAGGGUGACAGUAGCAAAAG
Long non-coding RNA from Mus musculus (house mouse), 3529 nucleotides. RefSeq annotates it as predicted gene, 32528. The transcript is spliced from 2 exons. Lineage: Eukaryota; Metazoa; Chordata; Mammalia; Rodentia; Muridae. The record is from RefSeq and is a predicted model, not a curated record.